UUUCCGUAGGUGAACCUGCGGAAGGAUCAUUACAUAUUGGUCAAAAGAAUAGUU
RNAcentral lists this ribosomal RNA (54 nucleotides) under Cunninghamella bertholletiae. Its description in RNAcentral is "partial 18S ribosomal RNA". The record is from RNAcentral. Lineage: Eukaryota; Fungi; Mucoromycota; Mucoromycetes; Mucorales; Cunninghamellaceae.